Ruditapes philippinarum (Manila clam) is the source of this 8797-nucleotide long non-coding RNA. RefSeq lists it as uncharacterized. The transcript has 2 exons. NCBI's taxonomy places the organism in Eukaryota, Metazoa, Mollusca, Bivalvia, Venerida, Veneridae. The record is from RefSeq and is a predicted model, not a curated record.
UAGUUGAUUUUUCUUAUAUGGACUGCUAAAAUGAGUUAACGGAAUUAGCUCAGUUUGUAUAUCUAUGGAAUUUCUUUACUAAACAUUUAUAGUAGAAAAUGAAUUUUUUUCAUACAAACAAACUGUACAUUAAUUAAUAAUUUACCAGUAGUGAUGUAUAGUUUUGAAUUUUAUUUUAACUGUAAACAUUUACAAUCAAAUAUUAUUGAAUCUUGAGAAUUUAAAGAUAGACUAGUUUAUUUUACUGGAUAGCAUCAUUGUUUUAUUGUUUUAUUUUCUUGGUGAUUUCUUAUUGUCAAGUAUAUUGUCAUAACUGCCUACUUUUUUAUCUGUGAUUAUAGAGGUAAAAAAAUGCUCUUUCUGAAAAUAGCCUUCAAUAUGAACACAAUAUGUUUACCAGAGAUACAACUAGUAUAAACACCAUAUUUUAUGCUUGUUGAGUAGGGCUGUUUUCCAAGUAUUAUUGUGAUAAUAAAAUUUUGUUCAUUUAAGCCCUUCACUUAUUUUACGAUGCAAUAUUGUAGCCAGAUUUUGACCAGCACCCUACUAGCAUUUACUUAAGCUGUGAGAAAAAAUAAAGUCACAAGUCGACAGGUCAGGGCUAUAUGAAGGAUUUAUAAAACAUCAAGCUUGGAAUUUCUCAAAAACUCAUGUACUGUGACAGAUGUAUCAUGACACCAUGUUAUCAUGCAGCAAUUUCAUGAAGCAGAUGCUAGUGGCAAAUCUGAAUUUCUGAUGGAAAUCAGGAAAAUGUGUAUAAAUAAUUUUCUGUAGAACUUUCUGUCACAAAACCAACCAUUGAGAAGUAGUAUUUAAAAAGAACAGAGCAUCAUGAAUCAAAGAAAUACCAGGAAAAAUGUAAAUAACAUGCAAGUUUUGAGGUCUCUGGAUGGAUCCAGGAAUUCCGGAAAGCAUAUUGCAAAAUUACUGGGCAAGAAACUCAAAUUACUUGACUUAAUAUAGGAAGGGGAGUCAUUGUUAGUAAUGUGCUAAAUGGAUAUCCUGGAUGCAUAUAAUACCAGGCUGAACAUUAUAAAAUGGCUUUUUAUAGAACCUGCAUAUCUAAAUAUAGUCAUUAUAUGACAUUUUAACUGUGUUUAUAAAAUAAAUAAUGAUAAAAAAAUAGACAUGUUAAGCUUUACUCACAUUCUUUGAAUUCAUAGUUUAUGCAAAGUCUUUCAGAGAAUUAAUCCUUAGUCCAUUGCUGUUGGUAUAAGAAUUUUUGAUAAACUUUUCCUUAAUUUAUCACUUUGGCUUUUAACUUUUCGGUGAAUGAUAUGAACCUGGUUUGUCCAACUGUCUGUUAGCAGUUUUUGUGUCCGAUCUAUCAUUUGAUCCGGUGGAAGGAUAUUGAAACUCAAAUUACUUGACUUAAUAUUGGGCUUCCUGAGAUCAUAAUUGGCCCUGCCCAUGGGAUAACUUGAUUUAUAUAGGAAAGGACAUGUAAGUUUCAUUGUGUGAAACUACAAUGCCUAGAGCUUAGAUAUUUAGUAUGUGGCAUUCCAUUAUUGACUUUUACAAAACUGAUAUGAUUCACACCCUUGGUUCAAUAUUGGCCCAGCUACAGGGGUCACUUGAUUUAUAUAGACAUAAAUGGAAAAACACAUGUGAGACUUAUUGUGUGAUACAAAGAGGCACAAAGCAUAGAUAUUUGGCAUUUAAUAUCACUUUGUGGACCACAAGAUAACUGGUAUUAAUCUUGCCCCUUGGGUCAGUUAAUAUUGUGUUGUAAAGGAAAACACAUUUAGGUCUUACUUUGAUAAAACUACAUAGCCUAAGUUAAGAUAUUAGACUUUUAGCAUUACCUUAUUAGUCUCUACAAAACUUAUUAAUCAUGCCCCUUGGGUCAAUUUUUGCCCCACCCUUGUGGUCAGUUACUUUAUAUAGUCUUGUAUGAAAAAACACAUUUCAGUCUUAUUUUGACAAAGCCAAGAGAUCAGAUAUUUAGCAUGUAGAAUAACCUUGUGAACCUCUGCAAAACUGAUAUUAAUCAUGCCCAGGGAUCAAUAUUGGCAAACCCCAAGGUCACUUGAUUUAUAUAAACUUAUAGGAAAACACAUUAAGGUUUUAUUGUGUGAAACUACAAGUCCCAGAACUUAGAUAGUCCCAGAACUUAGAUAUUUGACAUGUAGCAUCAAUUCAUAGAUUUUUACAGAAUUUAUAUUAAUCAUGACCUUUAGGUCAAAAUGGGCCCUGCCCUGGGAGUCACUUGCUUUAUAUGACUAAGAUAUAGGAAAAAACUAUAUUUGGCAUGUAGUAUUGCCUUAGUAGACUGUUAAAAAAGUUUUAUGAAUUGUAAACAGUCCCUCCACCUUUGAGGUUGUAUCAUAUGCUGAUUAAGAUACAACAUUAUUCAGACAAGGUUCUUGAUUGGGUCUCUACUCUUAUUAAAAGAUUAUUCUGAUUACUCAAACAAAUUUACGUUAAGCGUAUUUUCCAGCCUUUGUUGUUUUCUUGUUUAAAGAAUUCAUCCUAUGGAAAUGUUUAAACAAAGAAAAGUAAUUUUGUAUGUUUUACAUUGCCUUUUUUUGGUGUGUGUCUUUUUUUUUUUUCAUUUUAUACAUAUCCAAAUUAUAGAACAUCCGAAAUUGCAUACAGUUUUGCACGUACAAUUGAUGAUUUUAAGCAUUUAUAGUGUUCAUUUUAAUCAGUUUAAAUGUCUAAAUAAUUUAUCACUUAAAUCAAAGUCUUAAUACCUUGAAAGUGAAUAAGGUCAGAUAUCAUGAAAUGUUUUCAUUGAAGUGUUUUGAUAAUAAAAAUACUUGACAGUAAUAUUUCAAUCUAGCUAGUGUGUGUGUAAUAAUAUCAGCACAAUAUUGCAUGAGAAUCAAGUGUAUCAUUUACCUUGACACCGAUCAAAAGACUGCCAAGAUAUGACCAAAAUUGUAUUACAGUCUGCAUAAAAACCAAGUAUAAAAACACACAAAACAGACAGAAAUUAGCAAUAAAGUAAUUUGCAUGUUCCUUUUGUAAUGAACUUUACACUUUCCCUCCCUUUUGAGGCAUUUUUGAAAUCCAGUUAUAUUGAAUAUUGGAAUGGCAUUGUUCAUCUGUCCUUUUGUCUAAAUCUAAAAAUGAGCCUAAGUCUCAUCUUGAAAUUAAUGACAAUACAUUAUGUAGAAAUAAUGUUUUAAUUUCAUUUUAUCUUCAAAGGCUGACCUGAAAAGUCAUGUUCAAAGAAGUUUAAGCAGGUUCUUUGUAUCAUACAGUGAUGGAUAGCAAUUUACUAAUUUGUUUUCCCCUUUCAAAUUUACUCCACACUUUCUGCCUUUUUGAGGCAUUUCUGAAAUCCAGUUAUAUUGAAUAUUAAAAUGGCAUUGUUUCCAGAUGUCUGAUUUUAAAGAAACAUUUUUUUGGAAGGAAGUUAUUAUUAUAGUCCUGUGGGUGUACCUUUUGUCUGCAAAGUUUAACAUUGAUCAUAACCUUUAUUUUUUUGGUGUAUUGUCUUCAUACUUGGCUACAACAACCCUUGAGAUAAAACCUUCAAGUACACCAGACUAAUCUUGACCUUUAUACAUAAAUGACCUUGACCUUGAAGGUCCAAUUAUUGAAACUUUCUUAUUUUGCUGCAACUGGCUAUAACUUUGUUAUUAAUGAAUAGACUGGCUGUAUAUUUAGAAUGAACAUUCAUUAGGAUUUGACCUUCAUGUAUUAUCAAACUAAAAUUGACCAUCUGUACCUUGAAGAUUAAAUUAUUGAAUUUUCACUGAUUUUGCUAUAAUUGACUGUAACUUUGUAACUUCAAACUUGGACAAAACAACUUUUUGGAUAAGACCAACUAAAAGUUUGAACUGACCUUAACCUUGAGCUUUAAAUGACCUUGACCGUCCAUGUCAAAUUAUUGAAUUUUACUUAAACUGUCAUAAUUUUGUUAUGUCUACAGAUUUGAUUUAUAAUUUGACUUGUGACCAAACAAACAUAUUGAAUUAUUUAGAUGUGAACUUAACCUUAAAUUGACCUUGAAAUCAAUAAAAUUAUCUUGUUUUUUCCUAUAGAUAUGGAAUUUGGACCAUGUGCACAGUAUUAGAUGUAAUUUGAACUUUGGUAUCAGUUGACCUUAGAUUUAACUUAGUGACCAUAUUUCUUGUCCUUUGAUGUACAGCUAUAAAAAUUGGACCAUUUGCACAGUUUUAGUUGUAAAAUAGAACUUUGAUAUCAAGUGACCUUGAUUUUGAUGACAUGACUUACUUUCUUGUCCUUUGAUGUGCAGCUAAUAAAUUUGAACCAUGUGCACAGAUUAAGAUGUAAAGUGAACUUUGAUAUCAGCUGGCCUAGAUUUGACAAAGUGUCUUACUGUGUUGUCCUUUGAGGUACAGUCACGGAAUUUUGGCCAUGUGAAAUGUGACCUUCACCACCAAAUUCACUAGACUUAACUGCAUUGAUAGAUUCCUACUCUGAUCUUUUAUUUGAAUAACAAUAGAUUUAACCACUAAUCUGAUAAGAAUUAGAUAGGACAGUGAUCUACUUCAAUUGUAUUGAAAAAAAAAAAAUUCUGUUCCUACAUUACUAUUUGAGUGUUGUAUUAAUGUGAUGGCACAUAAUUUUUAUAUGCCCAAAAAAAUUUCGGGUAUAAUAUGUUAAACCCCCCUGGCGUACGUCCAUUAGUCUGUCUUUCUUUUGUGUGGCUAAAAAGAACAAUAGAGAGAACAAAAGAGUAGCCACAUUAUUACUGUCCCGUUGGAACGUCCGUCUGUUAGCAAUUUGGUUUCCGGAGCAUAAGUUCCAUUUGGCCCACAUUGUGUAGAAGACCCCUAUUGUUUUUGGGAUCCCAAGGUCAAAGGUCAGGGUCACUAUUACCUUACCUGUAAACAGUUUCUGGAGCAUAACUUUAGUUCCAUUUGGCCCACAAUAUUCAAACUUCAUAGGAUGGUUGUCCAUAUUGGGUAGAAGAUCCCUAUUGAUUUUGGGAUAACAAGGUCAAAGGUCAAGGUCACUAUAACCUUAACUGUAAACAGUUUUCGGAGCAUAACUCAAGUUCCAUUCGGCCCACAAUAUUCAAAUUUCAUUGGAUGGUUGUCCAUAUUGGGUAGAAGACCCCUAUUGAUUUUGAGGUCAAAGGUCAAGGUCACUAUUACCUUAAAACUGAAAACAGUUUCCGGAGCAUAACUUAAGUUCCAUUUUGCCCACAAUAUUCAAACUUUAUAGGAUGAUUGUCCAUAUUGGGUAGAAGACCCAUAUUGAUUUUGGGAAUCACAAGGUCAAAGGUCACUUUUGCCAUAAAACUGAAAACAGGUUCCGCUCAAUAACUUAAGUAUUAAUCAACUUACAGCUAUUGCAUUUUGAAGGAGGUAAUACUUUAUUUAAUUCCCAUGUCUUACAAAUGCUUCAUCCUUGCUUAAAAAAACACUUUCGGGCAUAUAAUGCUCCACCUAGCUGUGCUCUUGUUCACAAAUGCAAUCUUGUUUUCUUUAGGGAUAUAAAUUGAGCACUGGGCUUCAGUGGGCCAUGGUUAGGGGUACCAAAAAUAGAUUUCUAAACAUUUGCUUAUACAUGUAUAGCUUUUAUUAGCUCACCUGAGCUAGCUCAGGGUGAGUUUUUAGGAUUGUUGAAUGUCCGUCGUCUGUCGUCCGUCCACACUUGUUCGUUAACACUCUAGCGGUCAUAUUUUUGUCUCCAUCAUUAUCAAACUUUGUCAGGAUGCUUAUCUAGGUAAUAGUUCGAAUGAGUUCAAACAUGGGUGAUGUCCGAUGAAAAACUAGGUCACAAGAGCUAAAAAUAGAAAAACCUUGUUAACACUCUAGCGGUCAUAUUUUUGCCUCAAUCAUCAUCAAACUGUGUCGGGAUGCUUGUCUAGGUUACAGCUCGUAUGAGUUCGAACAUGGGUCAUCUCGGGUGAAAAACUAGGUCACAGGAGCUAAAAAUAGAAAAACCUUGUUAACACUCUAGUGGUCACAUUUUUGAUGCAAUUAUCAUCAAACUUGGUCAGGAUGCUUGUCUAGGUAAUUGCUUGGAUGAGUUUGAACAUGGGUCAUCUCGGAUGAAAAACUAGGAGCUAAAAAUAGAAAAAUCUUGUUAACACAUGUGGCUACUGUUCUGAUCCAAAUAUCCUGGAAAUUGGUCUGAAAGUUUUUGAUGAUUUCUAGGUCAAGAUCUAAUAUGGGUCACCUGGGGUCAAAAUCUAGGUCACACUGCUCAGAUAUGGAUAAUCCUUGUUAACACUAGUGGUCACUUUUUAGCUCGACUUUUCUAUGAAAAGGGGAGCUAUCCUACUCGCCCCGGCGUCGGCGUCGGCGUUAGCGUUAGCGUCGGCGUUGGCGUCACACCUUGGUUAAGUUUUUCGUACCACCCCACUUUAUUUCAGAAGUAUUACAAGUAUGGCUUUGAAACUUACCAUACUUGUUCACCAUCAUAACCUCCAUCUACAGACAGGAGUACAUAACUGUGUCAAGGUUUUUGACAGAAUUAUGGCCCUUUUUUGACUUAGAAAGUGUAUUGAGCUUGGUUAAGUUUUUUGUACCACCUCACUUUAUUUCAAAACCAUUGGAGGUAUUGCUUUGAAACUGACCAUACUUGUUUACCAUCACGACCUUCAUCAACAGACAAGAGGACAUAACUCUGUCAAGGCUUUUGACAGAAUUAUGCCCCUUUUUGACUUAGAAAAUACAUUGAAUAUGGGUAAAAUCCACUUAUUGCCUUAACCCUUUGAGAUAUUGCUUUGAAACUUUUAAUGCUAUUUCACAUCAUUACCCCCAUCUGUACGCAAGAGAAGGUAACUCUGUCAGGGAUUUGUUUUAAAAAAUUAGGCCUUUUAUCGACUUAGAAUCUUGGUUAACUUUUUUGUACCAGUCAACUUUUUGACUGAACUGGUUGAGAUAUUAAAUUGAAAGUUGGAAUACUUGUUUACCAUCAUGGUCCCAAAACAUGGGCAGGAGAAGGUAAUUCUGUUAAGGAUUUUAUUUGAAUUAUGGCCCUUUUUGACUUAGAAACUCAGUUAAAAUUUUCAUUCUUGUCCACUUGUUGACUUAACCAUUUGAGAUAUUACUUUGGAAGUUGGAGUUCUUAUGUGCCAUCAUGAGACCUAUCUGUAAGCAAGAGAAGAUAACUCUGUGAAAAUGUUUCUUGAUUUGUACUUAGAAAUUCCUAGUUAAAGUCUUGUGUGCCCUUAACUGUCAAAGUUUUGUUUUAUAGGCAAGCACUAAAAAAGUCGAGCGCGCUGUCCUUCUGACAGCUCUUGUUUACUCACCUGUCAUGAAACUUGGUCAGAAUGCUUGUCUAGGUAAUUGUUUGGAUGAGUUCAAUAGGUCAGGUGAGCGAUCUAGGGUCAUCAUGGCCCUCUUGUUUAUUGAUGGUAUUCUUCAUAUUUGGAAGGAACAUACCUCAGAUGUUCCAGUGUUGGGAAUCACAAGGUCAAGGUCACCUGUGCUAACAAUAGACUUUUUACACUCUUUCAAACACAGUCUUUGUAUUUUUAUACCAUAUUUAGAUGGAACAUACCUCAGUUUGUCCUUUAAGUUUUGUGUAGUUUGGGUCACUUGGUUUAGGGUCACUUGGUUCAAGGUCAAGGUCUUGCGUUUAUAUAUAUUUGAUAAAUUUUUGUAAGUUGAAUAUUUUUCAACUCCAUCACAUUGCAGUGAAAUGCCAACUUAUACUUUACACAAUGACACACCAUCAUGAUGACUCUUGUCGAGUUAUGUAAUUGUUUUUACAUUCUUUAAGCAAUUUUUCUGUCCAUAACUUGAGUGAUUGGGUAAACUUUUUUGAAAAAUUGUAACUGAUGGGAAUCUGGGUUGGGGGCAUUUGUGUUUACCAAAGAUGUUUAUGUUUACUUGUUGUAAUGAGACUAAGCAUAAAUGUAUAUUUAAAGGAAAUGCUACAAAUGAACUGCAAUCAAAAUAUAAACAUGCUGAAGUUAUGUCACUUGUUACUUGAAAAUAAGUAGUUUUCCUCCAUUUGUUAUUGAGAUGCUAAAUGUUGACAUGAACUUAUAUGUACCAAAAUAUGAAAGUUUUCAUAAAGUGUAAAGCAGCAGUAGAUAGGUAUUUUGGUGUGUUUUGUGAUUUUAUUUCUGAUGAAUUGACAAAUUUACUGAAGGAGUAAGUGGUGAUACUUCAUAGAAAUAUGUUUCUCAAGAGUUUGCAAUGAUCCUUAUUUUGUAAGUGGUGCAGUUUUAUUUUUGAUGUCAUUAUGUGAGUUCACCUGGCACAAAGUGUCAUUGUGAGCUUUAAAGAUCGCUCACUGUCAGUAGCAUGAUGUAUAUCUGUUUAAUUCUGUUAUAGGCAUCUUCUGGUAUACCACUGGGUCAGUGUUUAUGAAACUUGCCAGGAAUUGCAUCUUGCUUGAGACUAUAUCAAAGUUGCUCAUAUAAUUACACAUGGACUAUUUCAUUAUGUAAUAAGAAAUAGUGAAUGUAAUGACUGUUAGGGUAAUCUUAGACCGUUUUUUUCUUUGAAAUUCUAGAAAGUAUUGAAGGGAUUUGAUAAAACUUCCCUCACUAUCUAUUCACUUUAAUGGUCUUCUGUAUUGAAGAAAUAAUAACUUCAUUAGCAAGAAAUCUCAGGUGUGCAAAUUAGGUUCUUUGUGUCCCUCUUAUAUCCACAUGCUCAUUACUACAUAAAACUAUUCUGUGUUUGUUACUGUUUGUUAACAUGGAUAUAUUAAACUUAUUUUAUCACCUCUUUGUAUUUAUUUUUUAUUUUAGUAUUUUAGAAAUAAGUAAUUCAAUUUUGUUAAUUAAUGAUAAGAAUUUCAAAUAUUUGACAUUUCUUAUAUUUUUGGAUAUUUGGGAAUAGAUUUAAGAUAAUGGUAUAUGAAAAGUUUAUUUUAUCACUAUUGAUUGAUAUUAAAAGAAUGCAUAGUU